This is a long non-coding RNA of Pygocentrus nattereri (red-bellied piranha), 720 nucleotides long. The record is from Ensembl. NCBI's taxonomy places the organism in Eukaryota, Metazoa, Chordata, Actinopteri, Characiformes, Serrasalmidae.
UGCUCAUCUGCUGCUGCAGUGUUGGUCAUCCUCUAGUCCUUCAUCAGUGGUCACAGGAUGCUGUUGGCUGGAUGUUUUUGGUCAAUUCAUUAAUUGCAUUAUUUGUGCAGUGAUCCCUUGAAGGCCUUGUUGAAGCAGUAAUGCACUGUAGGCUGUUAUUUUGGUGCUGUACAUGUGAAAUCACUGGAGUCUAGUGGAUUAUUGCUGUUCAGCUGUUUGUGUUAAAUGUGGAUCCUGUGUUCCUGCAGACUCUGAGGCUGAUGGAGCUCCUGUUUCUGAACCCACAGAAACCCCAACACCUUUCACCACCACAUCUGAGCCCUUCACAGAAGAUGAUGAGUCUCUUCUCCUGCCAACUGUGAGCUCACCUGAGAGGGACACGACUACUGUCAAGUCUCUGGACGUCAGCCCUGCAGCAGAUGAGCUAGAUACUGACUCCAACUCUCCGGUCUAUCCUUACAGUAGCACAUCGUUACACGGCAUGUUGUUGGAAAGUAAAGCUGACACAGUGGCCUCCGCUGCCUCUGAGGGCCAUCCUGAAGGUUUACAGAAGAGAUCGGUCUGAUGUGGUGUGGACGGUCAGUUUGAGAAAUAAACAUUCCAAACUGUAUUGGCUGUGGGCUCUUCUUCUGCUGGGCUAGCAGAGUAUCAGCGGCACCCAUUUAACCCCUUAAGUUAUGCCCAGAGCUUUAUUAUGCACUCCUAUAACCCAAGAAUGUC